GAAAGAGCUUGCUCUUUUCAGAAUUGAGUGGCAAACGGGUGAGUAACACGUAAACAACCUGCCUUCAGGAUGGGGACAACAGACGGAAACGACUGCUAAUACCGAAUAAGUUCCAAGGGCCGCAUGGCCCAUGGAAGAAAAGGUGGCCUCUACCUGUAAGCUAUCGCCUGAAGAGGGGUUUGCGUCUGAUUAGCUGGUUGGAGGGGUAACGGCCCACCAAGGCGACGAUCAGUAGCCGGUCUGAGAGGAUGAACGGCCACACUGGAACUGAGACACGGUCCAGACUCCUACGGGAGGCAGCAGUGGGGAAUCUUCCGCAAUGGGCGAAAGCCUGACGGAGCAACGCCGCGUGAGUGAUGACGGCCUUCGGGUUGUAAAACUCUGUGAUCCGGGACGAAAAGGCAGAGUGCGAAGAACAAACUGCAUUGACGGUACCGGAAAAGCAAGCCACGGCUAACUACGUGCCAGCAGCCGCGGUAAUACGUAGGUGGCAAGCGUUGUCCGGAAUUAUUGGGCGUAAAGCGCGCGCAGGCGGCUUCCCAAGUCCCUCUUAAAAGUGCGGGGCUUAACCCCGUGAUGGGAAGGAAACUGGGGAGCUGGAGUAUCGGAGAGGAAAGUGGAAUUCCUAGUGUAGCGGUGAAAUGCGUAGAGAUUAGGAAGAACACCGGUGGCGAAGGCGACUUUCUGGACGAAAACUGACGCUGAGGCGCGAAAGCGUGGGGAGCAAACAGGAUUAGAUANCCUGGUAGUCCACGCCGUAAACGAUGGAUACUAGGUGUAGGAGGUAUCGACCCCUCCUGUGCCGGAGUUAAC
This 813-nucleotide ribosomal RNA is filed under the name uncultured Dialister sp. RNAcentral's name for it is "bacterial SSU rRNA". It matches the Rfam family "Bacterial small subunit ribosomal RNA", at positions 72 to 856 of the family's 1533-position model. The record is from RNAcentral. Lineage: Bacteria; Bacillati; Bacillota; Negativicutes; Veillonellales; Veillonellaceae.